UACGAGGGGGGCGAGCGUUGUUCGGAAUUAUUGGGCGUAAAGGGUGCGUAGGCGGUUCCGCAAGUCCUGGUGUGAAAUCUUCGGGCUCAACUCGAAGUCUGCACGGGAAACUGCGGGGCUUGAGGUGUGGGAGGAGGUGAGUGGAAUUCCCGGUGUAGCGGUAGAAAUGCGUAGAUAGUCGGGAGGAACACCUGUGGCGAAAGCGGCUCACUGGACCAUAACUGACGCUGAUGCACGGAAAGCUGGGGGAGCAAACAGG
Molecule: ribosomal RNA, 259 nt
Filed under: uncultured bacterium
Lineage: Bacteria
Description: partial 16S ribosomal RNA
Rfam family: Bacterial small subunit ribosomal RNA
Source: RNAcentral